Ailuropoda melanoleuca (giant panda) is the source of this 73-nucleotide non-coding RNA. NCBI's taxonomy places the organism in Eukaryota, Metazoa, Chordata, Mammalia, Carnivora, Ursidae. The record is from Rfam.
ACCUGGCUGGCUCAGUCGGGAGAGCAUGAGACUCUAGUUCUCAGGGUUGUGAGUUCAAGCCCCAUGUUGGAUG